UCGUUUAGCCUUGCUACCCUGAGGCUCUACGUGCGCUGGUGGUCCUGAUUGACCAAUUGGUGAGGUGUUUUCCCUGGAUCACAUCUUGAAUGGAAGGGCCUUCCUUCCCUUCCUCCUCAAAGGUAACACAUCAAUUCAUAUCGUCCUCUAGAAACAGGUUCUUUAUUACUGCCAGCGUCUCAGCUUCCUCUGAUCCGUAUAUGACAUUGGUGGGCUGAAAGCUAUGCUCUAACUGAGGUAGAGGGUGGUCCAGUUAAUAGUAGCGACCGCUCCAUGGUGGCGACCAGUGCUGGAACUCUUCCCAAGUGUACUUAUAGCCCAGACAAAUGUUGAGGCUUGAUCCCCUGUCGACUAGAAUCCUGGUGAUAAAGUGAUCCUCGCAUUGCACAGUGAUAUGCAGAGCUUUAUUGUGACCAAGCCCUUCUGGUGGUAAUUCAUCUUUCGUUGAAGGUGAUCUUAUAGCUUUCC
Molecule: long non-coding RNA, 468 nt
Filed under: Nicotiana benthamiana
Lineage: Eukaryota; Viridiplantae; Streptophyta; Magnoliopsida; Solanales; Solanaceae
Description: long non-coding RNA (NBEN_LNC022291)
Source: RNAcentral